UCUGGCUCAGAAGCUGCUGAAACUUAUUCUGUGAUCAGCUCAGUACCCUUACCGGCCCUGCCUUUCGACACCAGUGGAGACAUAAAAGUGGAUUCUAAGAUAACAGUGGUCGACACGUAUCAUGUGUACAGCUCCAUCCCUGACACACACGUGACCACCAAUGACGCAGUGUACAGCCUGCUGCAGAUGCACUGAUGUAUAUUACACCUUAAUGAAUGUAAAUAGUUAUUUACAGUAUUAUUCUUAUGCCUGUUAUGCCUUAACAUGUGCUUUAAUUGAAUAGCUUGCUUUUGGAUUUGAAAUGAAUUGGACUGCUGCUGGCUUGUAACUGCGAUGUCACUGAAUGGAGCUCAAGACUGAGUCCAGAUUAAUAAAGAGCUGAUGGUUUUACAGUUGCUUCAUGAAUAAGUUUUUUACAGUUGCUUCAUGAAUAAGUAACUUUAUUACUAUUGUUUUUUUUAAAUUAUUAUUUUACACUCCUACAGCAGUUUCUGAAUCUUGCUUUUUUCCAUCCACAGCCUUUCUUCAAA
Molecule: long non-coding RNA, 530 nt
Organism: Ictalurus punctatus (channel catfish)
Lineage: Eukaryota; Metazoa; Chordata; Actinopteri; Siluriformes; Ictaluridae
Source: Ensembl